Molecule: non-coding RNA, 93 nt
Organism: Lentinula aff. lateritia
Lineage: Eukaryota; Fungi; Basidiomycota; Agaricomycetes; Agaricales; Omphalotaceae
Source: the annotation of a GenBank genome assembly
GGCCUGAUGGUCUAGUAGCAUGAUUCUUCCUUUGGGUUGCAUUUCCUUUGCGUUCACUGGAAGAGGUCCUGGGUUCAAUUCCCAGUCAGGCCC